GGAUAUGAGAAUGAUCUGGCUGUGACAUCUGCCAUGUUAGCGAUUGCCAGGGUUGAUUUGGCUGAUACGGCUGGUGAGGCAGCUGUCCCCUCUUCCUUCCUCACAACUCC
Molecule: small RNA, 110 nt
Filed under: Jaculus jaculus (lesser Egyptian jerboa)
Lineage: Eukaryota; Metazoa; Chordata; Mammalia; Rodentia; Dipodidae
Description: 7SK RNA (ENSJJAG00000005033.1)
Rfam family: 7SK RNA
About the family: 7SK was discovered as an abundant small nuclear RNA in the mid-70s but a possible function has only recently been suggested.
Source: Rfam by way of RNAcentral